This 735-nucleotide ribosomal RNA is filed under the name uncultured bacterium. RNAcentral describes it as "bacterial SSU rRNA". It matches the Rfam family "Bacterial small subunit ribosomal RNA", at positions 82 to 803 of the family's 1533-position model. The record is from RNAcentral.
CGGAAAAAGAGGAGUGGCGAACGGGUGAGUAACACGUGGGUAACCUGCCCAUCAGAAGGGGAUAACACUUGGAAACAGGUGCUAAUACCGUAUAACAAUCGAAACCGCAUGGUUUUGAUUUGAAAGGCGCUUUCGGGUGUCGCUGAUGGAUGGACCCGCGGUGCAUUAGCUAGUUGGUGAGGUAACGGCUCACCAAGGCGACGAUGCAUAGCCGACCUGAGAGGGUGAUCGGCCACAUUGGGACUGAGACACGGCCCAAACUCCUACGGGAGGCAGCAGUAGGGAAUCUUCGGCAAUGGACGAAAGUCUGACCGAGCAACGCCGCGUGAGUGAAGAAGGUUUUCGGAUCGUAAAACUCUGUUGUUAGAGAAGAACAAGGAUGAGAGUAACUGUUCAUCCCUUGACGGUAUCUAACCAGAAAGCCACGGCUAACUACGUGCCAGCAGCCGCGGUAAUACGUAGGUGGCAAGCGUUGUCCGGAUUUAUUGGGCGUAAAGCGAGCGCAGGCGGUUUCUUAAGUCUGAUGUGAAAGCCCCCGGCUCAACCGGGGAGGGUCAUUGGAAACUGGGAGACUUGAGUGCAGAAGAGGAGAGUGGAAUUCCAUGUGUAGCGGUGAAAUGCGUAGAUAUAUGGAGGAACACCAGUGGCGAAGGCGGCUCUCUGGUCUGUAACUGACGCUGAGGCUCGAAAGCGUGGGGAGCAAACAGGAUUAGAUACCCUGGUAGUCCACGCCGU